CUGCCUCACAGCCAUUGUCAGCACAGCUGGCGGCACACUCAGGGACAUCUCCUCUCUGGUUCUCCCUUAUCUCUUCUACAUGGUGCUAGGGUACAGCCUGACUCAGGAGGAGUCCUAGCUUUUAGGUCACAAGUUCCUCCUCAGUAGGGAGUUUCUGUAGAAGUGUUGGCAGCCGGAGGCUGUCUGCUUAUGACACCUGAAGCAUCCAGGGGAGAAGUCCUUCUAUUUCAGAGGGUGAUCCGUAGUGCCCGACUUGUGUGCAGAGAGUGUGCAGGUAUAGGGCUGUGAUGGACUUGACUGCAGACACUGUGCUAUUAUAGGGCUAUGAUGCUUCUUGAAUCACACAAGGCUAUGAAAGCCCUAGAAUACACAAGUGAUAUGGACAUGAACUUGGCUUUCAGUUUCAUUCCUCUCUUUCAGGAAAGUAAGCCAUGUGAAAGGACUGUUUAUUCAAGCACUCCACAGGAGACCUUCUAAGCUUUUCCUGUCAGCCCCCACCUCUCUUCUACUUCCCCUUGCCUGUUGACCCUUCCUUUUCUGACUGUCAGGGGUUAUCAAAAGCAGGGAGACAAGAACCAGUCCACACACAGCUGGCUGCUGCCAGAGGCUCUAUGGGUGGGAACCAUAGAUGCCUUACUGCCUCCUUUGACUUCCUUGGCCCUUUACCCCUGAUUCCUGAGAUAUAAUCAGUUUCUCACAUGGAUACCUAUAGCAUCUUCUCAGGACCUCCUCCCAGUAAGUGACUACAAAACCAUAAAAAGACUGGUGGCUCAGGAUGGUGGUGCCUUUGCCACAUAUUUCCCAGGCCACUGUGAGCAAUCACAAAGGAGAAAUACACAUCCAAACAGUGCACCUGAGCGACAAUGAGCAUCUGACCCAACAGGCCAUAGACUCCACAUCACAGCACCAACUGCUCGCUCUAUGGCUGAACUCACAACCCAGACAACCUCCAACUCUCCAACAGUGAAAGAUGGGGAUCAAACCCAAGGAGGGAUCAGCUUCCCUGCCCUUAUGCCUGAGCCACUGGGGAUGUGCCUUUGUGACAAUCAGAUAUGGAAAUGCUCCACCCUCUUCCCAGCCUCCAUCACACACGCCCUGCCUGUGUCCUCUUGCUGGUGACUCAUUCCUCCUGGCUCAGGAAGAAGAGCCUUCCUCUCGUAUAAUCUCAGUUUAAAGAGAAGAUUCCUUUGCUUCCUUCACUUACGAAUAACUCCUGAGGCCUGGAUGGAUGCCUCAUUCAUCUUCACAGUGCACUUUUCAUAAUGGUGUACUCUGUCACCACAGCAAUGACAUUGAUGCACAAUCCGACCAGCUUCAUCAUGCUCCUGCUGCCACAUCUUUUCUGCCAUGAUAGAUGGGACCCUCGAACUGUGAGCCAAAAUAAAUCCUUCCUCCCUUAAGUUGCUGUUGUCAGUUCCACAGUCCUCUCCAGAGAGGAGCAGACAAUCAUCCAAAGGCAUGUUCAUCCAAAGGCAUGCCCACCACUCCCAGCUGGAGCCAGACCCCACCACUGGGAGUCAUGCUGCCAUACUCCAGGAUGAAUUCUGAGUGAGGUGAGACCAGAGAAUGAAGGCAACCAUCAAGAAAGAAGACGUUUUCCACUCAGUCAGAAGUGAAAAAUUAUCCAGAGGGCCAGGUUUUGUCUGCAGUCAGAGACAACAGGGCUGGACUUCACCGGGUACAGCCGGCAGGGCAUGUCACCCAGGCUCUUCUGCCUGCAGUAGGACACCUUUGAACUGGUGCUGCUGUGAGUAAAGCCUGCUGGCGCUGUCGUUGAAACUCACGUGUGCAAGAUUGCUCUAUCUUGAAAAGCAGAGCCUGGCUGAGGAGGUCAGGAGUGCUGUGCCCAAGGUACUGAGCCUUCCCCCAGCUGCUCCUGCUGAGGGCAGUCUCCAAAGGGCAUUGCUGAGCUUGGAGAUUUCAGGGCUAUAAACAGAAGCCACGGAUUACCUGAAAGCUGGUUGUGGAUGAAUACAUUCUUUGAACAGCCAUUGCACAAUUUCCCUACCUACAAAAGCCUGACUUAAGGAACAGUUGUCCUGGCCACACUCAGUGAACCUGAAUAUGAUGUAUUCAUCUUAGCCAUAGAAUCAAAUUUUCAAUGCUUUAUAUGGGAAGGUGUUUUAAUAUUUCCUGAUUUCUUUCUAGUUUGUGAAGGCUUUGAAAAAAAUCAAGAAGCCUUUUCCUGUUUUUUGUUAAACUCACUGAUUUACAAGAGAAAGUUUACUUUGUUUUUUAUUUAAUUAGUUUGAAUUGUUUUUAUUUUAUUAUUUCAUGUGUAUGGGUGGUCUGCCUGCCUACCCACAUGUCUGUAUGCUAUGUAUAUACCUGGUGUCUAGUGCCUGGCUUGGGAGAUGGUACAGAAGAAGAUGGUGGGUACCCUGGAAAUGGAGUUACUGUUAGUUGUCAAUUGCCACGUGAGUGCUGGAAACCCAGCUGAGGUCCUGUGAAAAAGCAGCCAGUGCUUUUAACUGCUAAGCCAUCUCUCUAGCCCCAUACUUUGGCCUUUUAGAUGAAAUGUCUAGCAAUAGUUUUAGACUGGCUUCAGUUCAUUGUACGAUCCCUAAGGUUCCAAUGGUUAAUUUUUUAGUGUAAAUAAUGUCAGCUUGAUGCCUGUGGUAGUUUUAAUGCAAUUGGCCCCUAUAAUCUCAUUAUAGGGAGUGGCACUAUUAGGAGGUGUGGCUUUGUUGGAGUAGGUGCAGCCUUGUUGGAGGAAGUGUUUUCCUUUAUAAGAGUUGCCAUGGUCCUGGUGUCCCUUCACGGCAAUAGAAACCCUAACUAAGACACUGCCUUGGAUGCCUAUGGCCAAAAUUGAAAGGAAUAGGACAGAAAGAGAACCCUGAGUGGCAGUAGGGGUAGCACAGGGGUUGGAACCUGGGGAAUGAGUACAGAAUGAGUACAAAGCAGCAUAGGUCAUAGAGAUGCUAGGGAUGGGGUAAGGGGUCAGAGAAGGGAGGGUGGGCAGGCACAUAGAAAGCGAGGCUGUGGCUAGGGGACAGAGAGGGCAGAGCAAGAGGCAAGAGUGAAGGAGUCGGGGAAGCAAGGGAGCAUAGUUUAGCAGUCAGAUUCUAACGAGCCAUCUUUGGGUGCCCACUUUCGUGCACAGUCCUCUACCACACUGAGCAGGGAUGGCCUGUGUAGCCAAGGAGACAGUGCUGUUUCCUCUUUGCACUCUUGGGUCACUUGUUCCAGAACAGUGGGAUGCCUUGUGGAGAAGUUCAAGCAUCCCUCAAGAAAGGCACUUGUGCUUUCAGAGCUUUGGCCUCUUGCCCACAGCCCUGGGGGCUUGCCUUCUGGGAAGCAGCUGCACUGGCUCAACUCUCCAACAUCCAGAAUCCUACAGGCAAAUCCUACAGGAGGAGCCAGGCCAGAACUGCCACCUCUGACCCACAGAUCCUCCUUGAGAUAAUAAAUGUGUAUCUUUAUGUUAAGCCCUCAAGUUUGGGGCUAUUUGGAUCUAUAAACACAGGGGAAACAUGGCUCAAAUGAGAACAGAGAGUCCACAUCCCUGCAAUUUCAGCUCUCCAGGCCUCUCCUGGGCCCUGCCAUGUGUCUUUGAUGAGCUGUGGCUGGAAGCCCCAUGAGCAAUACACAGUAAUGUGGUUUUUAUAAGUUGGAAAUUUUUGCCAAUUUGCUGAAUCAGUCAUUACAGAAAUAGAUCCUCCAUGACCUGACUUCUGGUAGACUGAUUUUCCAUGAAUAAUGUUAAGAGGCAAUACCUCAACUGAUUUUAUACCUGGAAAUCCUAGAACUGGGGUUUUAGAGAGCAUUUGGCUAAGCUAUGUUAAGGUAAGGCUGACAUAAAUGUCAGGGUAGCAGGUGACUGAGGGUGACUUCUCAGAGCCAUAUCAGGUGUCCCACAUCUCAUUGCAUUUAUCUAGGUCAUGGUAAAACAAAAAUAAUAGAUUUACCCUUUGAGAGGCGACAAGACUUACCCUUUCUUGAUUUCUGAUAAUCGAUUAUGUUUGGGAACACAUUGGGCUCUCUGGGAUGAUGAUUAAGAAUGUAAUUUGCAGGUAUAAUAAAAAGAGGAAUUGGAUUCAUAAAUAAAGUCUCUACAGAUGCUUAAUGCUACCUUCAAGAAAUUACAGGUAGAAUUCUCCUGCAAGUCCCAGAUGAUUGACAGCAGGCAAGCCAGCGGCAGCUGCCAGCAUUGUGAAGGGAUUGAAGAAGUCUACUUCACCCGCUGGAGACAAGCAAGGGCAAGACAGGGUUUCUCACACAUCACUGUCCCCCAAGGAUCAAGCCUGGGUAACACUGAUCUGUGGAACCCUCUCUGAGGAGAGGUUAUCAGCCAUUUUUAGGAGUGGAAAGAUGUUUUUAAGAAGGGCUGAAUAGCCGGGUGUUGUUGGCACAUGCCUUUAAUCCCAGCACUCGGGAGGCAGAGGCAGGUGGAUUUCUGUGAGCUCGAGGCCAGCCUGGUCUACAGCUCGAAUUCCAGGACAACCUCCAAAGCAAUACAGAGAAACCCUGUCUCAAAAAAGAAGAAGGGUUGGAGAGAUGGCUCAGAGGUUAAGAGCACUGGCUGCUCUUCCAGAGGCCCUGAGUUUAAUUCCCGGCAACCACAUAGUGGCUCACAACCAUCCGUUAUGACAUCUGGUGCCCUCUUCUGGUGUGCAGAUAUACAUGGAAGCAGAAUGUUGUAUACAUAAUAAAUAAAUAAAAUCGUUAAAAAAAAAGGAGGAGGGAGAGAAGAAGAAGAAGAAGAAGAAGAAGAAGAAGAAGAAGAAGAAGAAGAAGAGGA
Molecule: long non-coding RNA, 4744 nt
Filed under: Cricetulus griseus (Chinese hamster)
Lineage: Eukaryota; Metazoa; Chordata; Mammalia; Rodentia; Cricetidae
Description: lncRNA (ENSCGRG00015042731.1)
Source: RNAcentral